AAGAUAUACAAUAUCCCGUAUAUUCAAAACAAAGAUGAUCUUAAAAACAUCCUUAAUGCCUCUCAGGUUACCUCUAUUUCUAACAAGCAUCCUGUCUUUCAAAAUCUUGCGCACUGUCGACUUGGCGUGUAUCUCCAUUUUCAUUCAUCUAUUAAAUUAAAAUUAAAUUAAUUUUAAAUAUUUGUGAUACAAGGAAAACAAAAUUAUAUUUUUAAAAAUAUAUGUCGUAACUUGAACGUGUUCGCGUUACUUUCAACUAUCACGAUCGAUCCUAACCUCACUUUCGCCUCGUACCGAAAAAUAUCGCUACUUUAUAUUUCGUUUCGUAUAAAGGCUGUUUUAUGAAGAAAAAAAAGAGAGAAAAGAAAAGUUGAGAUUCUUUGAGAAAGAAGCACAACGUGUGGUGGUGGACCGUUUGAUAUACAAACGAGAGGUGGGGCUGCUGGAAAAAAGAUACGAUCGAUCAUUCCGAAACGAUAGCUCUCGAGACUUUAGUUACACGCAAUGCUUUGACACGUUGCAAAUGAGACAUCGCUGCAAAUGGUCAAUACUUUUCUCUCUCUCUCUCUCUCUUUCCUUUUCUUUCUUUCUUUCCUUCUAUUCCUUUCCUUUUUUUUGUAUCCUUACCGACGUGUUCCACUUAUCGAUUACCGAUCGAGUCUGUCCAUCGUGUCAACCUACCUGCACAGAAGUACAGAAUCCUGCAUUUCCUGUCUGACAGUGGAGGUCGGUAGCAAAUUCAGUAGUGUGGCACUAAAAGGGCUCGACGAUAAAUCACUUGGGCAAAUUCCUUAUAAAGCACUAAGUGCCGCGAGGCGUUUGAAAGGAUCGUGGGUCAGAACGCCGGGAGUUAAACAGAGAUUUCGAGGAGGAGGAAUAAUAUAAGCUGGAUCAAGCAAAUUCUUUCCUGGAGAGGGCCAUUCUCCGGGAUUCGAAGGUUAAACCUUAAGAUUCAUUCCCGUGAAUGAAUAUCUUUUUAUCAUAAUGAGAUUUUUUAUAGAGAAAAAAAA
Molecule: long non-coding RNA, 1010 nt
Organism: Apis mellifera (honey bee)
Lineage: Eukaryota; Metazoa; Arthropoda; Insecta; Hymenoptera; Apidae
Exons: 2
Source: RefSeq, a predicted model, not a curated record